Molecule: non-coding RNA, 81 nt
Filed under: Schistosoma japonicum
Lineage: Eukaryota; Metazoa; Platyhelminthes; Trematoda; Strigeidida; Schistosomatidae
Source: RNAcentral
CGAUACCUGGUGUUGAUUCUGGCUGAGUUCGUGGCAGGAUAAAGGUUUGCCUGUCACAGCCAAUAUUGAUACCCGGUGUUG